Molecule: transfer RNA, 84 nt
Filed under: Methylibium petroleiphilum PM1
Lineage: Bacteria; Pseudomonadati; Pseudomonadota; Betaproteobacteria; Burkholderiales; Sphaerotilaceae
Rfam family: tRNA
About the family: Transfer RNA (tRNA) molecules are approximately 80 nucleotides in length. Their secondary structure includes four short double-helical elements and three loops (D, anti-codon, and T loops).
Source: Rfam by way of RNAcentral
GGAUGGUUGGCAGAGUGGCUGAUCGCGCCUGGCUGUAACCCAGGUUCCCCAAAGGACGCGGAGGUUCGAAUCCUUCACCAUCCA